UCCCUGGUGGUCCAGUGGUUAAGAAUCUGCCUGCCAAUGCAGAGGACACGGGUUUGAUCCCUGUUCUGGGAG
Molecule: transfer RNA, 72 nt
Filed under: Bos taurus (domestic cattle)
Lineage: Eukaryota; Metazoa; Chordata; Mammalia; Artiodactyla; Bovidae
Also listed under: 5 other names
Rfam family: tRNA
About the family: Transfer RNA (tRNA) molecules are approximately 80 nucleotides in length. Their secondary structure includes four short double-helical elements and three loops (D, anti-codon, and T loops).
Source: Rfam by way of RNAcentral